AACGAACGCUGGCGGCAGGCCUAACACAUGCAAGUCGAGCGCGCCUUUCGGGGUGAGCGGCGGACGGGUUAGUAACGCGUGGGAAUAUACCCUUUGGUACGGAAUAGCCUCUGGAAACGGAGAGUAAUACCGUAUGUGCCCUUCGGGGGAAAGAUUUAUCGCCAAAGGAUUAGCCCGCGUUAGAUUAGGUAGUUGGUGGGGUAAUGGCCUACCAAGCCUACGAUCUAUAGCUGGUUUUAGAGGAUGAUCAGCAACACUGGGACUGAGACACGGCCCAGACUCCUACGGGAGGCAGCAGUGGGGAAUCUUGGACAAUGGGGGCAACCCUGAUCCAGCCAUGCCGCGUGAGUGAUGAAGGCCCUAGGGUUGUAAAGCUCUUUCAGCGGGGAAGAUAAUGACGGUACCAGCAGAAGAAGCCCCGGCUAACUCCGUGCCAGCCGCCGCGGUAAAAC
This 452-nucleotide ribosomal RNA is filed under the name uncultured bacterium. Its description in RNAcentral is "bacterial SSU rRNA". It matches the Rfam family "Bacterial small subunit ribosomal RNA", at positions 29 to 526 of the family's 1533-position model. The record is from RNAcentral.